This is a long non-coding RNA of Octopus sinensis (East Asian common octopus), 184 nucleotides long. RefSeq lists it as uncharacterized. The record is from RefSeq and is a predicted model, not a curated record. NCBI's taxonomy places the organism in Eukaryota, Metazoa, Mollusca, Cephalopoda, Octopoda, Octopodidae. The transcript has 3 exons.
UGAACCAAUUGUUACUUUAUCAGUGAACAGAUCACAGUCUCAGAGCGACGAAAAUUAAAUUUUGACAAAUUAAAUUUAAAUGUUGAAGUGAAUCUAACGGUUUUGUGUGUUUUUUAAAUGGUUUAUAAACACCUUCCACGCUGCAAUUGUUUUCGUUCCAGCACAUGAUCUCAGAUCAAGUCAC